GGUUCGAUUAUGGCUCAGAUUGAACGCUGCGGAUGUUUUACACAUGCAAGUCGAACGGCAGCACGGACUUCGGUCUGGUGGCGAGUGGCGAACGGGUGAGUAAUGUAUCGGAACGCCUAGUAGCGGGGAUAACUACGCGAGCGUAGCCAAUACCGCAUACGCUCCCUUCGGGAAAGCGGGACCUUCGGGCCUCGCACUAUUAGAGCGGCCGAUAUCGGAUUAGCUAGUUGUGGGUAACGGCUCACCAAGGCGACGAUCCGUAGCCGGUUUGAGAGGACGACCAGCCACACGGACUGGAGGACACGGCCCAGACUACGGAGGCGGCAGUGGGAAUUUUGGACAAUGGGGAAACUCUGAUCCAGCCAUCUCCGCGUGCGAUGAAGGCCUUCUCGGGUUGUAAAGCACUUUUGGCAGGAAAGAAACGGCACGGAUAAUACCGUGCAACUGACGGUACCUCGCAGAAUAAGCACCGCUAACUACGUGCCAGCAGCCGCGGUAAUACGUAGGGUAAGCGUUAAUCGGAAUUUCACGGCGAAAGCGUGCAGGCGGUUCGAAAGAAAGAUGAAAUCCCAGAGCUUAACUUUGGAACUGCAUUUUCAAUCACCGAGCGAGUGUCAGAGUGGUGCGGAAUCGGCGUGUAGCAGUGAAUGCGGUAGAUAUGGAGGAACACCGAUGGCGAAGGCAGCUUCCUGGGAUAACACUGACGCUCAUGCACGAAAGCGUGGGGAGCAACAGGAUUAGAUACCCUGGUAGUCCACGCCCUAAACGAUGUCAACUAUUGUUGCCUCGGGCUCAGUAGCGCAGCUAACGCGUGAAGCUGACCGCCUGGGGAGCAUGUCGCAAGAUUAAACUCAAAGGAAUUGACGGGGGACUCGCACAAGCGGUGGAUGAUGUGGAUUAAUUCGAUGCAACGCGAAAACCUACUCUACCCUUGACAUGUCUGAAUCCCGAAGAGAUUUGGGAGUACCGCAAGAGAACCGGAACACAGGUGUUGCAUGGCUGUCGUCAGCUCUCGUGUCGUGAGAUGUUGGGUUAAGUCCCGCAACGAGCGCAACCCUUGUCAUUAGUUGCUACGAAAGGGCACUCUAAUGAGACUGCCGGUGACAAACUGGAGGAAGGUGGGGAUGACGUCAAGUCCUCAUGGCCCUUAUGGGUAGGGCUUUCACACGUCAUACAAUGGUCGGGACAGUGGUCGCCAACCCGCGAGGGGGAGCCAAUCCCAGAAACCUGAUCGUAGUCCGGAUCGCAGUCUGCAACUCGACUGCGUGAAGUCGGAAUCGCUAGUAAUCGCGGAUCGUUAUUGCCGUGAAUACGUUCCCGGGUCUUGCAGGCACACCGCCCGUCACACCAUGGGAGUGGGUUUUACCAGGUACAGUUAUAGCCUAACCGUAAGGAGGGCGAUUACCACGGUAGAUUCAUGAUUUCUGGGUGAAGUCGUAACAAGGUAA
This 1448-nucleotide ribosomal RNA is filed under the name uncultured Bordetella sp. RNAcentral describes it as "partial 16S-23S ribosomal RNA intergenic spacer". It matches the Rfam family "Bacterial small subunit ribosomal RNA". The record is from RNAcentral. Lineage: Bacteria; Pseudomonadati; Pseudomonadota; Betaproteobacteria; Burkholderiales; Alcaligenaceae.